CCUGGUAGGAAAGGUCUCCUCAUGAACUUUACCACUGAGCUGUGCCGUCUUCUCAGCUUGAUGGGCAAGGUUGAAGCAGGGAAGCAUCCUUGGUUGGGGUGCAGGAGAAACACUGGGUGACCUUGCACUGGCUGCGCACUGACAAGGGUGUGCAUGGAAGCUUGGGAGAGAUUUAUGGGCCCAGUUCUGCCAAACACUUGUGAUCCCACAACAAUUUCUCAUCGUGUCUCACAGUGCCUGGCAGGAUCACACAUGUGUUCCCUUCCAAUUGUCUGUGGUGGGACAUUAUUCUCUCCCUUGUGACCUAGCGGUCAAUGACUUUUAUUUCUUGAGCUUGCCUGUUUAAUUAAGGAGUUGCUUCUCACCCAAAGUAUGGGAUAAGCCAGAAUGAAAGCAGCAUGCUUUUAAGACUGAAAAUAAAACCCCAAAUGUCAGCUCACCCGCCGGGCUAGCUAUUAAAGCUGAAUGAAGUGGUUGCAUUAUGAUGGUCAUGGGAUGCCUUGUAGAAGGAGCACUAUUGUGGGCGAAAACUACUUAUUUGACAUUUCCCAAGUUGCUUUUAGCAUUUCUCCUAAAUAAGCCUUUAUGCUUUGUCUAAACAGCUGAAGCUGAUGCUUAAUAAAGCUCUAGACUGCUUUGUCCAAGCACUUUCUGUGCUAGAUGGCUUCAGUAAACACUUCAGAUUUUGAAAGCAAAGUAAUUGGUAAACUUUCACUGAGGCACCACAUGCUGAGGUUACUUAACACCCUGCUAUCAAUACAUAUCACAGAACUCAAUGGUAGCAUUUUAGGAGCUCAAAAGCAGCUGGCAAUCACACCUGAACUUGCUAAUCAACACCAAAAAUUAAUGACAAGCUAAUCUGCACAUGUGAGCUUCCUUUGAAGAGCUAGAUAAGCUGCAAGCCUCUGCUGAUGGAAAGGAUGCUCCUGACCUAACUGCCAAGGGCAUCACUUUGUUUCCUGACUACGGAGUGUUUUAUUGUGUCUUGCUGUCCAUGGAGUAAGUGUUUCCCUCCUGGACCACGCUAAAAACUCUUGAGUAAACCAUCCUAGGCAGUGAAUGAACAUCCAAGAUGCAAACAUGCUCCCAGUUGGCUGCAGAACAGGAACUGGUUGGAAAAGUUUGCAGGGCUCUGUUUAGACUGCAGUGAGUCUUCACUCCUGACUUAAUGGGACAAGUACCUCUGGGAAGCCCUCUGUGAGGGAUGCUCAGGAAAUGAAAUCAGAGCAAUACCUGGGCUCCACACAAAGUGCCUUUGGUAGAGACAAGAGGGCUUUGUUAUCCCCAGCUGCAGACACCUCCAAAACCCCUCAGGUCAGAACCGUGCAGAGCAGGAUUGCCAAGAUCUCAGUGCAGGUACAGAAACUGCUGACAGUUGGACAUCUGCACCCCACUGCUGCUCUGAUUCCCCUACCAGCCCUGUCCCUGUGUGCCUGGCAUUGCCCCCCUUGUCCAUAGUGCCAGGCACAGGGGAAUGGAGAGUGUACAGAAAGGAGGCAGAGAGAAACAGAGCUCCUCAAAGGCCCACCAAGCAGUGUGGGUCCUGCAUACUUGAUGGGAAACACAGUGUUUGUCAAGCAUACAAGCUGUCUGGAAAAGAGAAGGAAAAAACAGCUCUUUGGAACAGAAGGAACAGGGCUCUGGGGGGAGUGGCUCUGAAUAGGUCACAGUGCCCCAGCAGAUCCUCAGGGCCAAGCAUGUAAUGGGACAAAAGAACGAGUUUGCACAGGAGCUUGAUGCACAGGGACCAGGCCCAGAUCAGAUGAAUCACAAAGUCCCUGUCUGGCAGUGGGGACCUGCAGGGUGUCACAGCUGGGCUCACAUCUGCCUUGCUCCAUCCACUUCCCACUCAUGGGAUCCAAACGUCCAGUCUGUGGUGCUUGACUCAGGCAAUCAUUGCUAGACCAGUGGUUAUUUUGUUCUGAUGGGCACUUGGGUGGCUCUUCCUCCUGUUGAGGUUCUGGACUGUACUGUAGUGUGUUUGAGUGCCUCCUUGUGCUGGGUGAACAUCCAUAGCAUCCCCUGUGCCCAUCCAAGGCUCAUUUGCUUGCCUCCUCUCUUGAGUUUACCUGAAUCUUCUCUGUGGUUCAUCAGGAAUGCUUACACAUUCAAUGCAUGUAACAUCUGUGACCCAUCUUCCUUUUGCACUGACACAUCUACUGUAUGUAACAUCUGGGACCCAUCUUCCCCGCGAUGCGGCUAUAUCUACUGUACGUAACAUCUGGGACCCAUUGUCCAUCUUCUCUAUUGAGUCAUCCCUAGGGAAAUGCAGCAUGCCCUGGGUACUUCUGUGUAUGGGCGAGUGAGUUAAGGUUCAUGAGUCCCCAUAAUAAAGGUCAAUGGAAAACACA
This is a long non-coding RNA of Neopsephotus bourkii (Bourke's parrot), 2351 nucleotides long. RefSeq lists it as uncharacterized. The transcript has 2 exons. Lineage: Eukaryota; Metazoa; Chordata; Aves; Psittaciformes; Psittacidae. The record is from RefSeq and is a predicted model, not a curated record.